Molecule: long non-coding RNA, 1077 nt
Filed under: Olea europaea subsp. europaea
Lineage: Eukaryota; Viridiplantae; Streptophyta; Magnoliopsida; Lamiales; Oleaceae
Source: RNAcentral
CUUGGUAUGACACAAGAAUGUCAUAACAAAAAGUGGGAACAUGAGAUAGACUUAUGGCAAAUAAGGUUUAAGUUUCGAUGGUACAUGGUGAUGAGUGCGUCUCCAAAUUUAGUGGGAAAGUGACUUAGGUCUCCCACGAUCGCAAAUGAUAUGUCCAGGUUGCGACUGGAGAAUUCAGGUGACCCAGGCAGGCGUUACGCUUGGACAGAAGCACCUGCAAUAGGGAACACAAGUAGGGAAACAAAGGCAUUACUUUAGGGAACGCAAGCAGAACCAACAUUAGAACUUGCAGUAGAGGGACGCAGACAGGCAAAACUCAGGCAGACUGCAAACAUUUCGGUAGGGGAUGCAAUAGUAAUGCAAAUAGAUUGCAGCAAGGGACACAACAGUAACACAAGCUGGGGAUGUAGGCAGACAUCGACAGUAGAUGUAGGGACAAAAUCUGGUUUUUUAUGUAAAAGCCACUAUCAUGAGGAGGACGCAAUAUCGUGGACUACGGACGAUAGUUUUGGAUACAAGUGUGUGCCAACUUGUGCCUAUUGGACAACUUGCAAAAGAAGGCCAAAAUACACUUGACAACUUCCUUAAGGAAACAAAGUCCAACUUGGCCACCAUAGUGGAGACAUGUCCACUUGCGUAGACGUUGUAAAGAUUGUCCACUUGCAUGGAAAAUGACAUGCCACUAGCAUAGAGUUCAAAAGGGAUAAGAUGCAUUGCAACAUGACAACUUGCAAGUUGCCGUCACGGGCCUAGUUUGGUUACAUCUAAAAUACGCUAGAACCGUGUGGCCUUAAUGCACCACAAUACUCAUCCCCAAGAAAUAGCGUUAAGUCAGCUUUGAACCCUCACAAUAAUUUAACCAAAUGAGGCUAAAUUAUAUGUUAACUUUGGUAGAUAUGGUAGAUAGGAAAUUAUGAGGAAAAGAGAGUACCCAUAUAUUUUGGGGAAAACUUAUUUAUAGAAAUAUAAGAAAAAACUAUAUACAACCCCACUACUAUUUUCUCUCUACAAAGAUAUCACUCUAUCUUACUUUACUCCCAUUCUAUCCAUGGGAAUUUUCUCUCAACUCUCUCUAUU